GCCCCGGUAAACGGCGGCCGUAACUAUAACGGUCCUAAGGUAGCGAAAUUCCUUGUCGGGUAAGUUCCGACCUGCACGAAUGGCGUAAUGAUGGCCAGGCUGUCUCCACCCGAGACUCAGUGAAAUUGAACUCGCUGUGAAGAUGCAGUGUACCCGCGGCAAGACGGAAAGACCCCGUGAACCUUUACUAUAGCUUGACACUGAACAUUGAGCCUUGAUGUGUAGGAUAGGUGGGAGGCUUUGAAGUGUGGACGCCAGUCUGCAUGGAGCCGACCUUGAAAUACCACCCUUUAAUGUUUGAUGUUCUAACGUUGGCCCGUAAUCCGGGUUGCGGACAGUGUCUGGUGGGUAGUUUGACUGGGGCGGUCUCCUCCUAAAGAGUAACGGAGGAGCACGAAGGUUGGCUAAUCCUGGUCGGACAUCAGGAGGUUAGUGCAAUGGCAUAAGCCAGCUUGACUGCGAGCGUGACGGCGCGAGCAGGUGCGAAAGCAGGUCAUAGUGAUCCGGUGGUUCUGAAUGGAAGGGCCAUCGCUCAACGGAUAAAAGGUACUCCGGGGAUAACAGGCUGAUACCGCCCAAGAGUUCAUAUCGACGGCGGUGUUUGGCACCUCGAUGUCGGCUCAUCACAUCCUGGGGCUGAAGUAGGUCCCAAGGGUAUGGCUGUUCGCCAUUUAAAGUGGUACGCGAGCUGGGUUUAGAACGUCGUGAGACAGUUCGGUCCCUAUCUGCCGUGGGCGCUGGAGAACUGAGGGGGGCUGCUCCUAGUACGAGAGGACCGGAGUGGACGCAUCACUGGUGUUCGGGUUGUCAUGCCAAUGGCACUGCCCGGUAGCUAAAUGCGGAAGAGAU
RNAcentral lists this ribosomal RNA (849 nucleotides) under Escherichia coli. Its description in RNAcentral is "partial 23S ribosomal RNA". It matches the Rfam family "Bacterial large subunit ribosomal RNA", at positions 1917 to 2765 of the family's 2925-position model. Lineage: Bacteria; Pseudomonadati; Pseudomonadota; Gammaproteobacteria; Enterobacterales; Enterobacteriaceae. The record is from RNAcentral.